CUAACACAUACUGAGCACAGACACCAUCCAGCACACUGCUAAACACCGCUAAACACCUUACAUGCAUCGUCUCAUUUCAACAGCUCACCUCAUCUGCUCCUGAAGGGAAAAAGUGAUUAUGGGAAGAAAGAAUCCAAUUCCUCAGAAGGGUGCUGGGAGAAGACCCCCCUUCCAGGCUCUGCUCAGCUGCCCUCGCAAUAUAACCAGAGCGAUAUCACUCCUGUUUUUUGAAGAAGCUAAAAGGCUACUGGUUCAUCACUGGACUCCCUGGCAGAUGCCGAAAGGGUACACUUUAUAUAGCUUUUUAUUGGAAAAGAAAA
Long non-coding RNA from Cervus elaphus (red deer), 320 nucleotides. RefSeq lists it as uncharacterized. Lineage: Eukaryota; Metazoa; Chordata; Mammalia; Artiodactyla; Cervidae. The record is from RefSeq and is a predicted model, not a curated record. The transcript is spliced from 3 exons.